Molecule: long non-coding RNA, 597 nt
Organism: Oncorhynchus masou masou (cherry salmon)
Lineage: Eukaryota; Metazoa; Chordata; Actinopteri; Salmoniformes; Salmonidae
Exons: 3
Source: RefSeq, a predicted model, not a curated record
GGGAAUUGUUGUCAUUGUGGUGGUGACCUCAGGUUUCGUUUUGGUAAACUGUCGAACGAUAUUGAUCAAAGGCCCGUCUUCCACUGAAGUGAAGUCUGGUCCGAUGACAUACUGCUGUGGGGAAAUCUCUCUGGGUAAGAGCCCAUACCCUAAUGUUGUGGUGAACACCUGAUUCUACAAGAUUAUCAAAGAUGGGAUGCCACAUGUCUCAUGACCAGACUUUGCCCUUCCAGAGAUGUAAGUACAUUAUGCUUUGAGACUGGAAAUUAAGCAGGAAUGAUGAAUUAAUCAAUUACAGCAAUCAAUGACAUAAUCUGACAACCUGCAGUAUCUGACACUGACUUCUCCUCCGGUACACUAUAAUGGAGAACCUGGAGCCAAUAGUGUGUCCAUACUUCAGUAACAUUGGUCAGCUUCUCCAGAGGUUACUGCUUGACCAGCCAGAACAGGUGAGUGACCAAGGACCUAAAUGAAGUAGAGAGUCUGUGUAUCCUAUUGUCACAUUGUGUUGUUUUUUUUUACCUCACAUCAAAACUUACCAACUUAACAAAAUCAGUGGAGGUUGUUUUUAGUCUUUGAACACCAAGGAAAGAAAUG